This is a long non-coding RNA of Corvus hawaiiensis (hawaiian crow), 653 nucleotides long. RefSeq lists it as uncharacterized. The record is from RefSeq and is a predicted model, not a curated record. Lineage: Eukaryota; Metazoa; Chordata; Aves; Passeriformes; Corvidae. The transcript is spliced from 2 exons.
CUCAGCUGAUUGCUGGAUGCCUUGCACUGCUUUCCUGGCCUUGGCCUCAGUUCUACAAGAGCUCCGCCUCGCUGUCAUUAUUCUUCCAUUGCUACUGGUUUCAUUUCAUCUGCUGUCCCAAGCCUGUUGCUGUUUCAUAGACAGAGAAAGACAGCGUUCUGAAGAAAAGCAGUGUGUGUAUAUUUGGCACUGCCUUGUGACAACAACAUGGGCUGCUGCCCUUCUCUGAGCAGUCAUAUUCCCAAGUGGGAUCCUGAGACUCCAGGUGUGGCUGCAGUCUGCUGGGGAGAGAUGAAAAUGCUUUUGCUUGCAUUUUGAGACCAAGCCAGGUGGCAGAGUGGCAUGUGGGUCAGGCGUGAUGUGGCAGCUAACAGUGCCUUCAGCCCUUUAACCUGGCUCAGCUCCCCAGCCAGUGAGGGACUCGAGGACAUGCUUAACUUUUUGCUGUUAAAAAUGAAACUUAGGCCUGUCCUUAGCUGUUUUGUUAAUCAGGAUUGGAUUUAAUCACGUUUUUUUAAGCUAUUGUCUUAGACCUUUGGAUUGUUGUUAAAACAUUUUCUGUAAGCUAUGCAAUAGAGGCCUGGUCCUUUGAAACGCCUGUCAUGCUUCCUUUAAAAUGACUAAAUGAAGUAAUAAAUGUCCAGACAUCUUUA